GACGAACGCUGGCGGCGUGCUUAACACAUGCAAGUCGAACGGAAAGGCCCUGCGUUUGUGGGGUGCUCGAGUGGCGAACGGGUGAGUAACACGUGAGUAACCUGCCCUUGACUUUGGGAUAACUUCAGGAAACUGCGGCUAAUACCGGAUAGGAGCUCCUGCUGCAUGGUGGGGGUUGGAAAGUGUCGGCGGUUGGGGAUGGACUCGCUGCGUAUCAGCUUGUUGGGGGGGUUGUGGCUUACCAAGCCUUUGACGGGUAGCCGGCCUGAGCGGGUGACAGGCGACAUUGGGACUGAGAGACGGCACAGACUCCUACGGGAGGCAGCAGGGGGAAAUAUUGCACAAUGAGCGGAAGCCUGAUGCAGCAGCGCCGCGUGCGGGAUGACGGCGUUCGGGUGGUAAACCGCUUUCGCAUGUGACGAAGCGUGAGUGACGGUAAUGUGUAAAGAAGCACCGGCUAACUACGUG
RNAcentral lists this ribosomal RNA (468 nucleotides) under uncultured bacterium. RNAcentral describes it as "partial 16S ribosomal RNA". It matches the Rfam family "Bacterial small subunit ribosomal RNA", at positions 28 to 507 of the family's 1533-position model. The record is from RNAcentral.